CCUACGGGUGGCUGCAGUGGGGAAUAUUGGACAAUGGGGGGAACCCUGAUCCAGCGACGCCGCGUGAGUGAAGAAGUAUUUCGGUAUGUAAAGCUCUAUCAGCAGGGAAGAAAGAAAUGACGGUACCUGACUAAGAAGCCCCGGCUAACUACGUGCCAGCAGCCGCGGUAAUACGUAGGGGGCAAGCGUUAUCCGGAUUUACUGGGUGUAAAGGGAGCGUAGACGGCGGGGCAAGUCUGGAGUGAAGGGCCGGGGCCCAACCCCGGAACCGCUCUUGAAACUGCCCGGCUGGAGUGCGGGGGAGGUAAGCGGAAUUCCUAGUGUAGCGGUGAAAUGCGUAGAUAUUAGGAGGAACACCAGCGGCGAAGGCGGCUUACUGGACCGUGACUGACGUUGAGGCUCGAAAGCGUGGGGAGCAAACAGGAUUAGAUACCCUUGUAGUC
RNAcentral lists this ribosomal RNA (443 nucleotides) under uncultured bacterium. Its description in RNAcentral is "partial 16S ribosomal RNA". It matches the Rfam family "Bacterial small subunit ribosomal RNA", at positions 338 to 795 of the family's 1533-position model. The record is from RNAcentral.